UACGUAGGGUGCAAGCGUUGUCCGGAAUUAUUGGGCGUAAAGAGCUCGUAGGCGGUUUGUCGCGUCGAAUGUGAAAACCCGGGGCUCAACCCCGGGCCUGCAUUCGAUACGGGCAGACUAGAGUUCGGUAGGGGAGUCUGGAAUUCCUGGUGUAGCGGUGAAAUGCGCAGAUAUCAGGAGGAACACCGGUGGCGAAGGCGGUUCUCUGGGCCUUACCUGACGCUGAGGAGCGAAAGCGUGGGGAGCGAACAGG
RNAcentral lists this ribosomal RNA (253 nucleotides) under uncultured bacterium. RNAcentral describes it as "partial 16S ribosomal RNA". It matches the Rfam family "Bacterial small subunit ribosomal RNA", at positions 524 to 776 of the family's 1533-position model. The record is from RNAcentral.